Ornithodoros turicata is the source of this 484-nucleotide long non-coding RNA. RefSeq lists it as uncharacterized. NCBI's taxonomy places the organism in Eukaryota, Metazoa, Arthropoda, Arachnida, Ixodida, Argasidae. The record is from RefSeq and is a predicted model, not a curated record. The transcript is spliced from 3 exons.
CUCAGAUCGUAACCGCCAUUAACUGAUGCUGGCGUUUCAAGUUUAUUUCGCUUUUGCGGCUCCUUCUUCUUUGUUUCGUGGCUUGUUUUGGUUUCGAACCGGGUUGUGCUGGUGACUGUGAUAUCGGAAGCUGACUCAGAGAUUAUCGCCGCUGCUAGCAAGUCCAGUGUGUGCGGUUUAUGAGUGAUUCGGAGAAAGCGCAGGACAGAGAGCGAUGCGUGAAAGAAAGGCAGAUGUUGAGCAAAGGGCGAGCCUGUACACAGAUGUAACGUAAGUUUUCUCUUAGCUGUUCGAAUUGAUCUUUUGCUUUGUUUGUGUUCACUUUUAUGCAGGCGUAGUCGCAAAGAAAGAAGACAGCCUGGAUGCCGAAACGACGUGGUUUCCCGCGAGGUUCUUGUGCAUUUCAACAAUUAGAACGGUCAGUUAACAGUCUUUAUUGUUCACAAGAGAGUAUGGAAAAAUGUAGCAGUGCUAAUCAAAUGUA